This 477-nucleotide ribosomal RNA is filed under the name uncultured bacterium. RNAcentral describes it as "bacterial SSU rRNA". It matches the Rfam family "Bacterial small subunit ribosomal RNA", at positions 15 to 518 of the family's 1533-position model. The record is from RNAcentral.
GAUCCUGGCUUAGGAUGAACGCUGGCGGCGUGCCUAACACAUGCAAGUCGAGCGAUCUUCUUCGGGAGAGAGCGGCGGACGGGUGAGUAACGCGUGGGUAACCUGCCCUGUACACACGGAUAACAUACCGAAAGGUAUGCUAAUACGGGAUAACAUACUUUUAUCGCAUGGUAGAAGUAUCAAAGCUCCGGCGGUACAGGAUGGACCCGCGUCUGAUUAGCUAGUUGGUAAGGUAACGGCUUACCAAGGCGACGAUCAGUAGCCGACCUGAGAGGGUGAUCGGCCACAUUGGAACUGAGACACGGCCCAAACUCCUACGGGAGGCAGCAGUGGGGAAUAUUGCACAAUGGGCGAAAGCCUGAUGCCAGCAACGCCGCGUGAGCGAUGAAGGCCUUCGGGUCGUAAAGCUCUGUCCUCAAGGAAGAUAAUGACGGUACUUGAGGAGGAAGCCCCGGCUAACUACGUGCCAGCCGCGGC